UACGUAGGGCGCAAGCGUUAUCCGGAAUUAUUGGGCGUAAAGAGCGUGUAGGCGGCCCGAUAAGUCCGCCGUGAAAGUCCAGGGCUCAACCCUGGGAUGCCGGUGGAAACUGUCGGGCUAGAGUCCGGAAGAGGCGAGUGGAAUUCCUGGUGUAGCGGUGAAAUGCGCAGAUAUCAGGAGGAACACCAAUGGCGAAGGCAGCUCGCUGGGACGGUACUGACGCUGAGACGCGAAAGCGUGGGGAGCAAACAGG
This 253-nucleotide ribosomal RNA is filed under the name uncultured bacterium. RNAcentral describes it as "partial 16S ribosomal RNA". It matches the Rfam family "Bacterial small subunit ribosomal RNA", at positions 524 to 776 of the family's 1533-position model. The record is from RNAcentral.